GUUUCCGUAGUGUAGUGGUUAUCACGUGUGCUUCACACGCACAAGGUCCCCGGUUCGAACCCGGGCGGAAACA
This is a non-coding RNA of Nasonia vitripennis (jewel wasp), 73 nucleotides long. The record is from Rfam. Lineage: Eukaryota; Metazoa; Arthropoda; Insecta; Hymenoptera; Pteromalidae.